This is a non-coding RNA of Caenorhabditis elegans, 94 nucleotides long. NCBI's taxonomy places the organism in Eukaryota, Metazoa, Nematoda, Chromadorea, Rhabditida, Rhabditidae. The record is from Ensembl.
AUGCGAAAUUCGUAAUAUUUGUUGUGUUUCUAUAUUUUCUCUCAACUCUCUCCUAAUUCUCCACACUAUCUCUUACAGUGUUUGCUUUCAGAAA